UAGGGAAUCUUCGGCAAUGGACGGAAGUCUGACCGAGCAACGCCGCGUGAGUGAAGAAGGUUUUCGGAUCGUAAAGCUCUGUUGUUAGAGAAGAACGUUGGUAGGAGUGGAAAAUCUACCAAGUGACGGUAACUAACCAGAAAGGGACGGCUAACUACGUGCCAGCAGCCGCGGUAAUACGUAGGUCCCGAGCGUUGUCCGGAUUUAUUGGGCGUAAAGCGAGCGCAGGCGGUUCUUUAAGUCUGAAGUUAAAGGCAGUGGCUUAACCAUUGUACGCUUUGGAAACUGGAGGACUUGAUUGCAGAAGGGGAGAGUGGAAUUCCAUGUGUAACGGUGAAAUGCGUAGAUAUAUGGAGGAACACCGGUGGCGAAAGCGGCUCUCUGGUCUGUAACUGACGCUGAGGCUCGAAAGCGUGGGGAGCAAACAGG
Molecule: ribosomal RNA, 429 nt
Filed under: Bacillota bacterium
Lineage: Bacteria; Bacillati; Bacillota
Description: Firmicutes bacterium partial 16S ribosomal RNA
Rfam family: Bacterial small subunit ribosomal RNA
Source: RNAcentral